This 271-nucleotide ribosomal RNA is filed under the name uncultured archaeon. RNAcentral describes it as "partial 16S ribosomal RNA". It matches the Rfam family "Archaeal small subunit ribosomal RNA", at positions 477 to 747 of the family's 1478-position model. The record is from RNAcentral.
CAGCGCCACGAGUGGUGACCACGUUUAUUGGGCCUAAAGCGUCCGUAGCCGGUUUGAUAAAUCUUUUGUGAAAUUGUACAGCUUAACUGUACAGCGUGCAAGAGACACUGUCAAACUUGAGACCGGGAGGAGUCAGAAGUAUUCCAGAGGGAGCGGUAAAAUGUUAUAAUCUCUGGAGGACUACCUGUGGCGAAGGCGUCUGACCAGAACGGAUCUGACGGUGAGGGACGAAAGCUAGGGGAGCGAACCGGAUUAGAUACCCGAGUAGUCC